Molecule: ribosomal RNA, 428 nt
Filed under: Trebouxia arboricola
Lineage: Eukaryota; Viridiplantae; Chlorophyta; Trebouxiophyceae; Trebouxiales; Trebouxiaceae
Description: eukaryotic LSU rRNA
Rfam family: Eukaryotic large subunit ribosomal RNA
Source: RNAcentral
CCUGACUGGUGGGAUGGCUUAUGCCUGCACCAUCGACCGACCAUGAUCUUCUGUGAAAGGUUUGAGUACGAGCAUACCUGUUGGGACCCGAAAGAUGGUGAACUAUGCCUGAGCAGGGCGAAGCCAGAGGAAACUCUGGUGGAGGCUCGUAGAUGUGCUGACGUGCAAAUCGCUUUUCGGACUUGGGUAUAGGGGCGAAAGACUAAUCGAACCAUCUAGUAGCUGGUUCCCUCCGAAGUUUCCCCCAGGAUAGCUGGAGCUUGAUCAGUUUUAUCGGGUAAAGCGAAUGAUUAGAGGUACCGGGGAUGAAACAUCCUCGACCUAUUCUCAAACUUUAAAUAGGUAAGACGUCUGGGUUGCUUAAUUGAACCCAGGCACUCAAUGAGAGCUCCAAGUGGGCCAUUUUUGGUAAGCAGAACUGGCGAUGC